UACGAAGGGGGCUAGCGUUGCUCGGAAUCACUGGGCGUAAAGGGUGCGUAGGCGGGUCUUUAAGUCAGGGGUGAAAUCCUGGAGCUCAACUCCAGAACUGCCUUUGAUACUGAAGAUCUUGAGUUCGGGAGAGGUGAGUGGAACUGCGAGUGUAGAGGUGAAAUUCGUAGAUAUUCGGAGGAACACCAGUGGCGAAGGCGGCUCACUGGCUCGAUACUGACGCUGAGGUGCGAAAGCGUGGGGAGCAAACAGG
RNAcentral lists this ribosomal RNA (253 nucleotides) under uncultured bacterium. Its description in RNAcentral is "partial 16S ribosomal RNA". It matches the Rfam family "Bacterial small subunit ribosomal RNA", at positions 524 to 776 of the family's 1533-position model. The record is from RNAcentral.